GAUGAACGCUGGCGGCGUGCCUAAUACAUGCAAGUCGAGCGAACAGAUGAGGAGCUUGCUCCUCUGACGUUAGCGGCGCAGGGGUGAGUAACAUGUGGAUAACCUACCUAUAUGACUGGGAUAACUUCGGGAAACCGGAGCUUAUACCGGAUAAUAUAUUGAACCGCAUGGUUCAAUAGUGAAAGACGGCUUUGCUUUAACUUAUAGCUGGAUCCGCGCGGCAUUAGCUAGUUGGUAGGGUAACGGCUUACCGAGGCAACGAUGCGUAGCCGACCUGAGAGGGUGAUCGGCCACACUGGAACUGAGACACGGUCCAGACUCCUACGGGAGGCAGCAGUAGGGAAUAUUGCGCAAUGGGCGAAAGCUUGACGGAGCAACGCCGCGUGAGUGAUGAAGGUCUUCGGAUCGUAAAACUCUGUUAUUAGUGAAGAACAAAUGUGUAAGUAAAUAUGCACGUCUUGACGGUACCUAAUCAGAAAGCCACGGCUAACUACGUG
Molecule: ribosomal RNA, 497 nt
Filed under: uncultured bacterium
Lineage: Bacteria
Description: partial 16S ribosomal RNA
Rfam family: Bacterial small subunit ribosomal RNA
Source: RNAcentral